This 879-nucleotide long non-coding RNA is filed under the name Leguminivora glycinivorella. RNAcentral's name for it is "uncharacterized LOC125230251, transcript variant X2". The record is from RNAcentral. Lineage: Eukaryota; Metazoa; Arthropoda; Insecta; Lepidoptera; Tortricidae.
CAAAGCCGCCAUAACGCCAUUAUUUCAAUUCUUCACUUUCUUGUGAUGUUCGAUGCUUUGCUUUGCUAGAAAGAACUUUAAAAUUAUGAUGUUGAACUAUACAACGACUGUGCUUGCCCUGGACUCCGAUAAAUCUGCUUUUUUGUGAAUAUACCGGCUCUGCUCAACGGAUUUUGAUUUGCUCGUUAGAUUCGUUUGUCGUAACAAUGGUUAUAAGUGCUGUGUGUUGUGUACUUAAUUGCGGUAAAACGCGAUUAGAUAAUAUGAUUCUUCACCAAUGACCCAAUCCAAUUAUUGAGCCUGACUGGUUUCGUACCUGGAUUUACUCUAAUGGCAGUGAUGUGUUAGCAAUGGAAAACUGUGUCAUACUCACUUUAAGAAAAAAUAUAAUACUUCAAGCGGAAGACUCAGUUUUACCCAUUUCUCUAUUGAGGUCUUGGGGUAUGGAAUUGAUAAGCAAACCACAUUGCUGCAAUUUCCAAUCAAUGUUCAAGAACCAAUGCAAGAUGAUCAAGUACCCAGAGCCCCUUUGAGGAACAUCACCAAUCAGUACCCACAGGGCGGCUACUAAUCUCAGAUCUCAGCCGUCAGCUUCAGGAAUUGAUAAGCAAGCAAACCGCAUCGCUGCAAUUUGCUAGCAAUAUUCAAGAACCGAUGCAAGAUGAUCAAAUACCCAGAGCCCCUUUGAGGAACAUCACUGAUGUCAGUUCUCAGCCGUCAACUUCAGGUCACGCGCCACGACACACACCCCGAUUUUUCACGGAAGCUAGCAGUUUGGCCAAACAAAUAAAAAAACUUACUGAGACAAAAGAAAAAUAUUCUUUCGUUUAUUGCUCGUGUUGGUGUGGUGAAAAUUGUCGGUAGGAAACACUGCACUUG